CGCGGGGUAGAGCAGUUGGUAGCUCGUCGGGCUCAUAACCCGGAGGUCGUUGGUUCAAAUCCGGCCCCCGCAACCA
Molecule: transfer RNA, 76 nt
Filed under: Firmicutes bacterium CAG:238
Lineage: Bacteria; Bacillati; Bacillota
Also listed under: 2 other names
Description: transfer RNA-Met(CAT)
Rfam family: tRNA
About the family: Transfer RNA (tRNA) molecules are approximately 80 nucleotides in length. Their secondary structure includes four short double-helical elements and three loops (D, anti-codon, and T loops).
Source: RNAcentral